RNAcentral lists this ribosomal RNA (253 nucleotides) under uncultured prokaryote. RNAcentral's name for it is "partial 16S ribosomal RNA". It matches the Rfam family "Bacterial small subunit ribosomal RNA", at positions 524 to 776 of the family's 1533-position model. The record is from RNAcentral.
GACGAGGGAUCCUAGCGUUGUUCGGAAUCAUUGGGCGUAAAGCGGGUGUAGGCGGCUCUAUAAGUCAGAUGUGAAAGCCCUGGGCUCAACCCAGGAAGUGCAUUUGAUACUGCAGAGCUUGAGUGUGGGAGAGGCUAGUGGAAUUCCUGGUGUAGUGGUGAAAUACGUAGAUAUCAGGAGGAACAUCGGUGGCGAAGGCGGCUAGCUGGCCCAACACUGACGCUGAGAUCCGAAAGCGUGGGGAUCAAACAGG